This 427-nucleotide long non-coding RNA is filed under the name Capra hircus (goat). RNAcentral's name for it is "lncRNA (ENSCHIG00000002802.1)". The record is from RNAcentral. Lineage: Eukaryota; Metazoa; Chordata; Mammalia; Artiodactyla; Bovidae.
CUUUCCUUGGGUGGCUAUUACAGGUCUGUUACAAGUUGUGGACUUACUUAGUGGCCACUGGUACAUGUCACGAAGAGGCUGCAUUCAUUCUGGGGAAAUCAGUGCCCAUUUUGACAGGAGAGAGCCCAGUGAUAUGGAGUGUGUAAGAAACGAGCCACUUUCAAGCUCGCAGCCUAGAGAGAGCAGUGUGCUAAGACUCCGAACUGCAUUCGUGCCUGCAGCCUGCCGAGGCCUUUGGGGAAACUUGAGAUUCUGGCGGGAGGCCAUGAAGAUCUACUCAACUGGCAGCCACCUAAAACAAGCCUUCGAUCCAGCCUAGUCUUGGAAUUAUUGAAGUGCUUUCUGAAGAGAUGGGUCCACGUUUGUAACAAGAGCAUUGGAGAACACCCUAGAUAUGGAAUCCAGUGGCAGGUGGGAAACUCAAGAC